Molecule: unclassified non-coding RNA, 146 nt
Filed under: uncultured fungus
Lineage: Eukaryota; Fungi
Description: sequence contains ITS1
Source: RNAcentral
GUUAUUAUUAAAUAUAAAGUUAGACAAUGCCGUGUUCAGUCCCAUGUAAAAAUAGGACGAGUUCAGUCAACUACUCGAGAGCUAUACAGCCCCAAGUCUAUUAAAAGUGUCCAAAAAUGAUCCUUCCGCAGGUUCACCUACGGAAA